CGCACCUUGCACUCUUUGGUAUUCCGAAGAGUAUGCCUGUUUGAGUGUCAUUAAAUUCUCAAACCACUCUUGUAAUGAGAGUGGCUUUGGAUGUGGGGGUUGCUGGUUUUCACGAAUCAGCUCUCCUUAAAAGCAUUAGUGGCUACUGUUCUCCACUUUAACAGUGUGAUAAUUAUCUACGCUGUGGGGAGAUGUCGAGUGUAGUUGCUCUCAAACCGUCCAUUCUUAUGGACAACUUGAACCCUUUGACCUCAAAUCAGGUAGGACUACCCGCUGAACUUAA
Molecule: unclassified non-coding RNA, 283 nt
Filed under: Phloeomana ochrogaleata
Lineage: Eukaryota; Fungi; Basidiomycota; Agaricomycetes; Agaricales; Porotheleaceae
Description: Hemimycena ochrogaleata partial contains 5.8S ribosomal RNA, internal transcribed spacer 2, and large subunit ribosomal RNA
Source: RNAcentral